GAUGAACGCUGGCGGCGUGCCUAACACAUGCAAGUCGAGCGAACAGACGAGGAUUUUGCUCGUCUGACGUUAGCGGCGGGCGGGUGAGUCACACGUGUAUAACCUACCUAUAAGACUGAGAUCACUUCGGGAAAGCGGAUCUAACACCGGAUAAUAUAUUGAACCGCGUGGUUCAAUAGAGAAAGACGGCUUUGCUGGCACUUAUAGAUGGAUCCCAGCUGGAUUAGCUAGUUGGUAGGGUAACGGCUUACCAAGGCGACGAUGCGUAGCCGAAGUGAGAGGGUGAUCGGCCACACGGGAACUGAGACACGGUCCAGACGCCUACGGGAGGCAGCAGUCGGGAAUGUUCGGCAAUGGGCGAAAGCCUGACGGAGCGACGCCGCGUGUGUGAUGAAGGUCUUGGGAUCGUAAAGCUCUGUUAUUGGGGAAGAACAGAUGUGUAAGUAGACGUGGCCGUCUUGACGGUACCGAGUCAAGAAGCACCGGCUAACUACGUG
RNAcentral lists this ribosomal RNA (497 nucleotides) under uncultured bacterium. RNAcentral describes it as "partial 16S ribosomal RNA". It matches the Rfam family "Bacterial small subunit ribosomal RNA", at positions 28 to 507 of the family's 1533-position model. The record is from RNAcentral.